This 253-nucleotide ribosomal RNA is filed under the name uncultured bacterium. Its description in RNAcentral is "partial 16S ribosomal RNA". It matches the Rfam family "Bacterial small subunit ribosomal RNA", at positions 524 to 776 of the family's 1533-position model. The record is from RNAcentral.
UACGAAGGGGGCUAGCGUUGCUCGGAAUCACUGGGCGUAAAGCGCACGUAGGCGGAUUGCUAAGUCAGGGGUGAAAUCCUGGAGCUCAACUCCAGAACUGCCCUUGAUACUGGCGGUCUCGAGUCCGGGAGAGGUGAGUGGAACUGCGAGUGUAGAGGUGAAAUUCGUAGAUAUUCGCAAGAACACCGGUGGCGAAGGCGGCCAUCUGGACCGGUACUGACGCUGAGGCGCGAAAGCUAGGGGAGCGAAUGGG